RNAcentral lists this ribosomal RNA (448 nucleotides) under uncultured bacterium. RNAcentral describes it as "bacterial SSU rRNA". It matches the Rfam family "Bacterial small subunit ribosomal RNA", at positions 355 to 825 of the family's 1533-position model. The record is from RNAcentral.
UGGGGAAUUGUUCGCAAUGGGCGCAAGCCUGACGACGCAACGCCGCGUGGAGGAUGAAGAUCUUCGGGUCGUAAAGCCCUGUUGGGAGGGAAGAAACCUGACGGUACCUCCAAAGAAAGCACCGGCUAACUCCGUGCCAGCAGCCGCGGUAAUACGGAGGGUACAAACGUUGUUCGGAAUCAUUGGGCGUAAAGGGCGCGUAGGCGGCCGCGAAGGUCGGAUGUGAAAUCCCAGGGCUCAACCUUGGAAUUGCGUUCGAAACCGUGCGGCUUGAAUCCCGGAGGGAGAAGUGGAAUUCCUGGUGUAGGGGUGAAAUGCGCAGAUAUCAGGAGGAACACCCAUGGCGAAGGCAGCACUCUGGGCUGGUAUUGACGCUGAGGAGCGAAAGCAUGGGUAGCGAACAGGAUUAGAUACCCAGGUAGUCCCUGAGCGGGCUGGCAAGGCGCAU